This is a long non-coding RNA of Mauremys reevesii (Reeves's turtle), 1065 nucleotides long. RefSeq lists it as uncharacterized. The record is from RefSeq and is a predicted model, not a curated record. Lineage: Eukaryota; Metazoa; Chordata; Testudines; Geoemydidae. The transcript has 3 exons.
CCUCUUUCCCUGUACCUCAUGAGAUACCCAUCCUUUGAUGGACGGGCUUCCCCCCACUGUUGGGUGCCAUUUCCGAGGUACAGAAAAAGGGACAUGUGCAAUGAUGCUGAGCCCAUAAAACUGGCCUGCUGGGAGUGCGUAGCGAGCAUCCUGACAGACUUCCCAGGAGAGCCACUUCCAAAAAGGGAUGAUCCCAGUCAAACCCGGAUAGCAACCCUACGCUCCUCACUCCCCCGGUCCACUGCACUCUGCUACCCUCCUUCAGCCCCCAUGGGAAUGUGCUUCCCCGCACCCAACUGGAGCCUGCCUGGGGUUGCACUCCCCCAUACCUCAGAGAGGUGCUACUAGCCUUCCCCUGCCUCAGGAGCCAGGCAACGUGACAGGAACAUGGAGGUGGACUCAUCCAUCCUGAUUAAAAAACAGCUUAAUCCCUCAAAUACUGCGGAUUCUCCAUCUCAUAAGCGCCUCUAUUUCCCACGCAGGAAUGAUGUACAGUCUGCCUUGAAAUAAUCUGUGCAAGGAAUUAUGGGGCUAUAGAACAUUGGGUGAUGGAGACAUUUAUAUCAACGAGUAUCAGCUAAUCAAUGGGAGCUCAUCCUUAGGUCUCCUUAGUGAUGGAAAAUCGGCUGGAUUCCAAACUCCCUUCAAUAGGAACGCGGCUUGAUGCUCUGCAGAUUGCAAGGCGCCAAAGUCACAUCUUUAAUAACUGCUGUUUUAUCGAUUUAAUUUUAAAAGAAACCUUAAUAUCCUGUCUGCGUCCUGGAGUUUAACGACAAAGACCCAUUGUUGUUUGGGAACGGGCUGGGCGAGUGAGUUCAUACUGGAGAUAAGGCGCUUGCCUGGGGCUAGUGUCUAAUAACUGAAUCAUGGGUCGGAGUACAGAAGAAUGUGGACAGGGUGUAUUCGUUGAGUCAGGGAUUACGGUGCCCAUGCUGACUGGUGGACAUUGUUCCAGCAGAGGACGACAAUGUGCUUUCAUUUCAUGCUCUGUAUUAUCUGCUGAGAUUCAGCAAGUGCAUCCGGCCGAGGGGGACGUGGGCUAAUCAGCUCUUGGCUCUGUGAGGG